This 253-nucleotide ribosomal RNA is filed under the name uncultured bacterium. RNAcentral describes it as "partial 16S ribosomal RNA". It matches the Rfam family "Bacterial small subunit ribosomal RNA", at positions 524 to 776 of the family's 1533-position model. The record is from RNAcentral.
UACAGAGGUGGCAAGCGUUGCUCGGUAUCACUGGGCUUAAAGGGCGCGUAGGCGGUGCGGUACGGUUUCGGUGAAAUCCCUCGGCCCAACCGAGGAACAGCCGGAGCUACGGCCGGACUAGACGGCAUCAGGGGACAGUGGAACUCCCGGUGGAGCGGUGAAAUGCGUAGAUAUCGGGAGGAACGCCGGUGGCGAAAGCGACUUCCUGGACCAGUACCGACGUUCAGGCACGAAAGCGUGGGGAGCAAACAGG